Long non-coding RNA from Callithrix jacchus (white-tufted-ear marmoset), 3547 nucleotides. RefSeq lists it as uncharacterized. The record is from RefSeq and is a predicted model, not a curated record. Lineage: Eukaryota; Metazoa; Chordata; Mammalia; Primates; Cebidae.
GCGGGGCCUGCUUUCCAGUUGGCAAGCUGACUUCGUUAAUUGCGCAUUCAGUCUCUACUUAGGGUAAUUGAAACGAAGCGGGGCCGGCUCUAACAAUUAGGGUCUGCGACUAGGCCAUUAACCCUUUCCGCCCCCGCCCCCCGCCGCGCCUCGGCACCCCUUCGAGGUGGAGGGGGGGUCACCGGGCGCCCCCGCCAGGGCCCCAUCUGGGGCGGGGGCGAGGAGCCCCACGCGAGACGCGGAGUGCGGCAGCGGGUGCUGGGCGCGCGCCCCAGCGCGCGCAGGGUUAACGCGGCGCCGGAGUCCUCCUGCAGCCCGGCUGGGGCCGAGGGGUAUGGAGAGCCGCGCAGGGUGUGUGGGGGUUGUUGAGGCCUGGCCGCCCCUCGGCAACAGAUGUUUCAGCCGUGUAAGACAAAGGCAGAGCGCCUGCUGCUGCCGGAGAAAAUCCGCAGGACUCCCUCAGGGGCAGCCGCCCUCGGAAGUCAGCCGAGUGAAGCAGCUGUUCCUUGCACACUCCACUUGACCAAAGAUGAUGAUAAAUGAGACCGGGGCUGCGGCGGGGACGCGGCGGCGGCGGCGGCAGCGAGGGGCGCGCAAGGCGGGGCUACGGCCCGCAGCCCCCUCCCCGCGCCUCGGGAAGGGCGAGCACGCGAAGGACAAGAGGCCGACAGCAAAAUCUAAGGCCCGCGCUGUUCUCCUGGUGCCCUGAGCAGCUCCGACACCCAGCGGUGUGGAGGAACCCGGCGGAGAAAUGCGCCCGGUGCGCCGGCCCCAGGCCGAGACCUCUUCCUCCAGGCCGCGCCGCAGCCCCGCCCAUUCCCCUUCCUCCUCACUCCUUCCCUUUCUCUCCCCCGCCCUCUCCACCCCUUCCCCUAAUGACCGGGUCCCCACUGCGUCCUCGUCGCCCCCCCCCUCCCGCCCCCGUGGCUCAAACCUAUUAACGCUCGUAAAUAAUGAAUAAUGGAGCGCUUCCCUCCAGCCGCGCAAGGCUGCGGGCGGGCGGGGGGGGGCCUGCCAGCUGCGCCAGGUCCUGGGGAGGGGGCACCCACCGACCGGGUGCAGUGGGGGCUAGGGCGCGCGGCCCCACACACGUGCAACCGCGGCGCGCAGGCGGGCACCCCGCCCGGCGGAGGAGGGGGAAUCCCGCUCUGCCCUCCCCAACGCCACCUCCCCUGGAGUCCUCUGGCACCGAACGAGGCGAGAGAGCGCGCGCGAGCUUCCCAGCCGGAGACGGUUAUUUUUAACCUGCCCCCCUUUCUAUAUCUGCCUCUCGGGUUUGCGCGUCCACCCGCCCGCUCCACCAGCCGAGGACGCGGGCUCCUCACCUCGCUCGGCGGCUCCGGACUCUGAGCACCUCCCCCGGCCCGCGGCCCCCGCCCCUGCGCGAGCAUCGCGCGGCUAAAUCUCAGCCUGGAAAGGACCGAUUAGGAGCCGCGUGCCUUUCUGCGAAAUAUUGGAACCGGGUGGGAUGGGGGCGGGGAGCCCGGCGCUGUCGUCCCCUCGCCUCCCUCUCUCCCUCCCACCCCGCGCGAAGAGUGGCUGCGAGAGGCGGCUCUUGCUCUCCCCCCGCAAAAAGGGGGCGGCCGGCCCGGGCCCUGGAGCCCCACGUUGGUUUUCAGUCUUCCCUCCUCAUUGCCCACCCACCCUUCUUCAGUCAUUUAGGAAGCUGGGGCUUCUAACACGCGGACCCUCCGACAUUGGUGGCGCCAAGUGGGGCGCUACCCGCCCCCAAUUUCCAGUUGCCUCCCUAAGCCACUCCAAACAAACACACCAUUUAAACAGCAGUGGGCUGGCCGAACCAACAACUUUGAGGCAGACCCACCCGUGCCUGCGACCGCGCUAGGGGGCUGGGAAAGUGCCAGGAGCGCGCAGUGGGGACUCCCCGAAGGCAGUUUAGUGCCGCUGUCCUCUGUUUUCAGGCUCCCCCUCCCAAUACACUAACGCAGAACCCUCCCUCCCAGCCCCUUCCCCUGCGGCCCAGCGCCCCAGGCCAGCAGCUCCGACUACCCUCCGCCCCCAGCCAGGGAAUGAGGCCACAGGAAGUUCAAGUCUGCUCCCAUUACCCUGCUCUCCAAAAGGCCACCCAUCCAAACCCCAGCCUGUCUUUCCCCACGGAGGUGGGGAGCAGCAGAGGAGCUGGCUGAGCUCAGAGGCCCCCCUGGGGCUUUGACUGGAUCCCUCCCUCACUUGACAUUUUCCACUGUUUGGUGCCCAAUCCUGGAGACCCACAGCAUAGGGCCCUGGAGCCCCUCCCUCCUUAAGACUCCCUGCUGCAGCAUGGAGAAGGGAAGACUGGAGGAAGUGGUGGGCCAAGAAGAAAGGAGCAGGGCAUUCAAGCCACCAGGAGCUGCCUAGUUUGGUGACCAGGAAGAACACCGUCUGUUUGGGAACCUGAGAUGUUCUCUCUGUGGCUUAGCGGGGCUGGAGGAGAUAGGCCUCAAGGGCUGGGCCCCUACCACAAGAGGGCAGCCUCUGGUGAGGGGGUGGAGAUUCCUGCAGAGGUAAGAAGCCUGGCAGGUUCUGAGCUCCUGGGAGGGGAAGGGGUGAGGAUGCCUGAGGAAUACAGCAGCGAAUCCAGGAGGCAAGGCUGGCCCAGAAGGGGAGAGACAGGGACAGGGCCUCCUAAGCAAACGCAGAGCCCAGCACUACAGAGUGGGGACUCUCAAGGGGCUUCUCCCAGCCAGCUAGAUCUGGAGUUGGGCUUCCCUCAGAUCUGGAGGUCUGCUGGAGCCGCUUAACUGCAGCACCCUCAAAGGCUGAUGCUCUCUGGCCCCGAACCCUCAAAUUACCCUUCUGGGAGGUGACAUCACCCGUCAUUUCACAGACAUGGACUGAGCUCCAGAGAGAGGAAGGGGUCCUUCCUGGUCCCCCUGUCCUGGGCCCUUCGGGUGGGAUCAAUCUGGGCAUCAGGGAGAGGCCUGUGGGGCUAUUGUGAGUACAGGCACCCCGGGGUGCAAGACAUGGGCAAGGAGGUCCUGGUUUCCUCUGAAAAUUUCAGAAAACUGGUUUUCUUGGGAGAAGAAAAGGGUGGGUGGCUGGACGAGGUGGUUCACGCCUGUAAUCCUAGCACUUUGGGAAGCUGAGAGGGGUGGAUCAUUUGAGGUCAGGAGUUUGAGACCAGCCUGGCCAACAUGGUGAAACCCCGUCUGUAGUAAAAAUACAAAAGUUAGCCGGAUGUGGUAGUGCAAGCCUGUAAUUCCAGCUACCCAUGAGGCUGAGGCAGGAGAGUUGCUUAAACCUGGGAGGCGGAGGUUGCAGUGAGCUGAGGUUGCACCACUGCACUCCAGCCUGGGGACAAGAGUGAAACUCUGUCUCAAAAAAAAAAAAAAAAGAAAGAAAAGGGUGAAGAGGGCACUAGAGAGAAGUCCCAUGGCCUACCAUCACUGAUUCCCUGCCACCCACUUGGCCAGGCUACCUAUGAAGGGUUUCCAUGUGGGACUUUGCCUCCUGGGGCUGCAGAAUGAUGGUAAUGAGGCCUAAGUCCGCAUGGCUCUUGUUCAGCUGUAGACCAAAUAAACCCCGUGUGGCCAUGUGCCACACUCUUCAA